UGGCUCAGAACGAACGCUGGCGGCAGGCUUAAUACAUGCAAGUCGUGGGGCAGCAGGGGCGUAGCAAUACGUUCGCUGGCGACCGGCAAACGGGUGCGGAACACGUACACAACCUUCCUUAAAGUGGGGGAUAGCCCGGGGAAACCCGGAUUAAUACCCCGUAACAUAGUGAAGUGGCAUCUCUUUACUAUUAUAGCAGCAAUGCGCUUAAAGAUGGGUGUGCGACUGAUUAGGCAGUUGGCGGGGUAACGGCCCACGCGAACCUACGAUCAGUAACUGGUGUGAGAGCACGACCAGUCACACGGGCACUGAGACACGGACCCCACUCCUACGG
This 334-nucleotide ribosomal RNA is filed under the name uncultured Terrimonas sp. RNAcentral describes it as "bacterial SSU rRNA". It matches the Rfam family "Bacterial small subunit ribosomal RNA", at positions 20 to 344 of the family's 1533-position model. The record is from RNAcentral. Lineage: Bacteria; Pseudomonadati; Bacteroidota; Chitinophagia; Chitinophagales; Chitinophagaceae.